Molecule: ribosomal RNA, 487 nt
Filed under: uncultured bacterium
Lineage: Bacteria
Description: partial 16S ribosomal RNA
Rfam family: Bacterial small subunit ribosomal RNA
Source: RNAcentral
UGGGGAAUAUUGCACAAUGGGCGCAAGCCUGAUGCAGCCAUGCCGCGUGUGUGAAGAAGGCCUUCGGGUUGUAAAGCACUUUCAGCGAGGAGGAAGGUGGUGAACUUAAUACGUUCAUCAAUUGACGUUACUCGCAGAAGAAGCACCGGCUAACUCCGUGCCAGCAGCCGCGGUAAUACGGAGGGUGCAAGCGUUAAUCGGAAUUACUGGGCGUAAAGCGCACGCAGGCGGUUUGUUAAGUCAGAUGUGAAAUCCCCGGGGCUCAACCUGGGAACUGCAUUUGAAACUGGCAAGCUAGAGUCUCGUAGAGGGGGGUAGAAUUCCAGGUGUAGCGGUGAAAUGCGUAGAGAUCUGGAGGAAUACCGGUGGCGAAGGCGGCCCCCUGGACGAAGACUGACGCUCAGGCUGCGAAAGCGUGGGGCAGCAAACAGGAUUAGAUACCCUGGUAGUCCACGCUGUAAACGAUGUCGAUUUGGAGGUUGUGCCC